Molecule: ribosomal RNA, 253 nt
Filed under: uncultured bacterium
Lineage: Bacteria
Description: partial 16S ribosomal RNA
Rfam family: Bacterial small subunit ribosomal RNA
Source: RNAcentral
GACGUAGGGUGCAAGCGUUGUCCGGAUUUAUUGGGCGUAAAGAGCUCGUAGGCGGCUUGUUGCGUCGACUGUGAAAACCCGCGGCUUAACCGCGGGCUUGCAGUUGAUACGGGCAGGCUAGAGUUCGGUAGGGGAGACUGGAAUUCCUGGUGUAGCGGUGAAAUGUGCAGAUAUCAGGAGGAACACCGGUGGCGAAGGCGGGUCUCUGGGCCACUACUGACGCUGAGAAGCGAAAGCAUGGGGAGCGAACAGG